GACGAACGCUGGCGGCGUGCUUAACACAUGCAAGUCGAACGAUGAAGAAGAGAAACGCGAAUUUCGGUUCAAAUUUUACUUCGGAUUAGUGGCAGACGGGUGAGUAACGCGUGAGCAACCUACCUCUUACAAAGGGAUAGCCUCGGGAAACCGUGACUAAUACCAUAUGACACAUUCAUAAGGCAUCUUAAGACUGUUAAAGAUACGCCGGUAAGAGAUGGGCUCGCGUCCCAUUAGCUAGUUGGUGAGGUAAAGGCCCACUAAGGCGACGAUGGGUAACCUGGCUAAGAGGGUCAACGGUAACAUUGGAACGGGGACACGGUCGAAACUCCUACGGGAGGCAGGAAUGAGUAAUAUUGCACAAUGGAGGGAACUCUGAUGCAGCUACGCUGCGUGAGCGAUGAAGGAAUGCGUGACAUAAAGCUCUGUUCUAUGGGAAUAAAAGGACUGUACCAUAGGAGAAAGCCCCGGCUAAAUACGUG
RNAcentral lists this ribosomal RNA (482 nucleotides) under uncultured bacterium. RNAcentral's name for it is "partial 16S ribosomal RNA". It matches the Rfam family "Bacterial small subunit ribosomal RNA", at positions 28 to 507 of the family's 1533-position model. The record is from RNAcentral.